RNA transcript from Paramisgurnus dabryanus, 5517 nucleotides. It is a transcript of the gene named ubiquitin specific peptidase 42, with no coding region annotated. The record is from RefSeq and is a predicted model, not a curated record. NCBI's taxonomy places the organism in Eukaryota, Metazoa, Chordata, Actinopteri, Cypriniformes, Cobitidae.
ACGGGUUAACAGCAACAAAGACAUCCAUCUGCUCAUCUGCUCUGAUGGCCCUCCAAUAAAGCCACAUCCACGCGACUCUGGGUUGGCUAACAUUACGCAAGUGCCCGGAUGUAGCCGUGGGGAAACUACGUCAUUGUUCACCGCCGGACGCGUUUUGGAUUUUUAGAAUGGAUGAACACAUUUAAAUUAAUCAUAAAUUUACAGAAAAUGAAUGAUGACCAUAGUUGACAAACCUCCAGAGAAACCUGACCUGGAGUCAGUGCGGUUCAAGCACUCCAGCUCCCUCACACCUUUCUCCACCAGGGAUAUGGAGAGCAGUAGUUCGAGCUGGAGUGUUGGCCCCUCCGGCACUGAGAUUUCAAGGGCCAAGACUGCUUGCAUGGCCCCGACCAUUGGGCUGACUGUGAAUGGUAAUAACAACACAGCUCAAGUCGAAAGGCCUCGGGAACAAGUGUUAACGACCAGUGGAGAUGGCAUUGCUCCGCCUCAGAAGGUCCUUUUUUCCCCAGAGCGGCUUUGCUUGAAAUGGAACCAGGGUCACCGUAUCGGAUCAGGUCUGCAGAACCUUGGCAACACAUGUUUUUUAAAUUCAACCCUCCAGUGUCUAACCUACACGGCUCCGCUUGCAAACUACAUGCUAACCAGAGAGCAUUCCAAAACAUGUCAUGAGCCUGGAUUCUGCAUGAUGUGUACCAUGCAAAAUCACAUCAUUCAGGUGUUCGCCAACUCUGGAAAUGUCAUCAAACCUAUCGGUGUGCUUAACGAACUGAAAAGGAUUGGAAAGCAUUUCAGAUUUGGAAGUCAGGAAGAUGCUCAUGAAUUUUUAAGGUAUACAGUGGAUGCUAUGCAAAAGUCCUGCCUACCUGGGACCAAGCUGGACAGACAAACACAGGCUACCACUUUUGUACAUCAGAUAUUUGGGGGUUAUCUGAGAUCUAGAGUCAAAUGUUUAAAUUGCAAAGCAGUGUCUGACACGUUUGACCCUUAUCUGGAUAUUUCACUGGAGAUAAAGAACGCUCCGACACUUACAAAGGCAUUUGAACAGUUUGUUAAGCCUGAGCAGCUUGAAGGAGAUAAUGCUUACAAAUGCUCCAAGUGUAAGAAAAUGGUCACCGCCUCAAAGAGAUUCACCAUUCAUCGCAGUUCUAAUGUUCUUACCAUCUCACUGAAGCGGUUUGCCAACUUCAACGGAGGAAAAAUUACAAAGGAUGUGAGAUACACUGAGCAUCUAGAUUUGCGUCCAUUCAUGUCUCAGUCUCAUGGGGAACCACAGAUUUAUGUUCUGUAUGCCGUGCUGGUUCAUUCUGGCUUCAGUUGCCAUGCUGGACACUACUACUGCUACAUUAAGGCUAGCAAUGGGCAGUGGUAUCAAAUGAAUGACUCAUCCGUAUCUCUUAGCGAUAUUAAAGCAGUGCUUAACCAGCAGGCAUACUUGCUGUUCUACAUCAGGUCGCCUGAUUUGAAGAAUGGAAGUGAUUUUGGUCAUGUGAACCAUACACCAGGUCAGUCAUCUCCGCGGCCAUCCAUUCCACUUAAGACGAAUGGACCUCAGUACACCUCCUCAUCUUUCAUUGGCCCUCAGUUGCCACCACAUAUGAUGAAGAACUCCUCAUAUAUCAAUGGACAUGGUUCUUCAAAGGACUACCAUAGUGGUUCAAAACCCAACAGAAACUUUUGUGGUGUGACCAAAGUAGGUUCUGGUCCAUCUCAUUCGUCCUCUUCUGCGUCUUCGUCAUCCUCUUCCACAUCGCAAUCCAACCAAAUUGUUCGACCCAUGGGAAUUCCUGACUCCUCUAAGAGGCCGAAGUUGACAUUUUACAUUGGUCAGGGCAAGCCUGUGAGACCCACCCAGACCCAAUCAAGUGCUAAUUGCUCCGCGUCCUCAUUUUCUCAGUCCACAUCCACUAAUACUUCGAAGACUACCUCAGGCUUCCCACAGACCAAGCAGGUCAACGGAACUCACACUGGAGCUUCUUUCCUGGUUCCUUAUGGUCAGGAAUCCUCUGAAGAAUCCGACCAAGAGGCUGGAACCUUGGAGAACGGAACACCUAAGCCUCCCAAGAUAACCAAUGGGAAUGGAGUAAAGGAUGAUGUCCAAGCCCACAAUUCCAGCUCACUGCCUCAGCAUACCUCAAAGACAAAUGGAUCCAAUGGCUUUACUGAAUUGCAUGGAUGUCAAAAUGGUUCAGGAUCCACCCAUAAAUCUCAAAACGGCCUUCCCAAAGCCAAUGGAUUUAAUCAUACCGAUAAGGUAACAGGUACUUCACACGUUUCCCCUCAAAUAACUAAUCCAUCCGAUAAUUUGGACUCACAGUUUGACCUUAAACCUGGAAACGGCGAGCCAUGCUCCAAACCACCAAGUACGGACCUUCACCAAUGUUCAUCACCCCCAAGCAAAAGAGAAAAACUUUCCUCUGAUUCUUCAGCUCACUCUUCUACACAAACGCAGUCUGCAAAUCCAUCAAAUGCCUCUUUGGUCUCUAAGACAGACAAUGAUGUGCAUGUCGAGGCAGCCUCAAAGAUUGAGUCAAAUCAGACCCAUGCUACCCACCCAGCGGUUGGCAAGUCAGACUUUCAGGUCAACCAUAGCCUCCAUGGAGGUGAUGGUCACACAAGUCCUCUUAGGUUAAAGGAGACGCUCAGGUGCACAGAAGGUGAAGUUAAAGAGUCGAAAUCCCCGAACUUAGCCAAAUUUGGAUCUAGUGAUGGAAGAAGACCAGUUGAAGACCGGAAUAGGAUUGUAGAGCGUCCACACUUUUCCUCCACCCUGAAAGACAGGGAUAGGUACAGGCAUCAUAGGGAAUAUGAUGAAAGAAACAGGAACCGCUACGGACACAGCCAUCGACAUGAACGAGAGUAUCGUCCUAUCAGGGAGCGCUCUACCAGCAGAGAACGCCAUUACAGAGAUCGUGAAGGGGAUCGACACUGGAACAGGUACACAUAUAACCAUCAGGAGCACCCACACUCUCAAAGAAGAAUCAGGGAGGAUCGGGAUCGAAGCAGAGAUGGGAAAUAUGCAAGCGGACACGAUGCUUAUCGUUCUUAUGGACAUCACAACAAGGAUGGGUCUUCUAGCAACUCCCAUCGUGGGACGGAUGGUGACCGGGGACGGACGAUCCAUACGGUCAGCGAGAUCAACUCGAGAACCAGACCUUCAUCUCCACGUUCUGUCAGCCCACUGUCUGGACAUCACAAGAGGAAACGCAGUUUGUCGGCAGAAACAAAGUCAAGCUCUGAUGAGUGUCGGGUUAAGAAAGCAAAAAAGAAGAAGAAAAACAAAGACAAACACAGACGCUCAGAGAAAGACACGUCAGAGACAAAUGAGGACAGCAGUUCCAGGCGACACAGGAAGAAGAAGAAAAAGAAAAAGAGAAGGAGGUGGGAUGAGGAGAAGCAUCAUACCGAAAAAGAUGCUAAUCAUAGACGGGACGAACAUGAGUCUAGAUCGAGAAACGGUGGAGAAAGUCGUCAUCACAGCUCUGAAUCUCAUUACAAUGUCAACCGAGGAGACCAUCAUAAGGAGGACCAGCAAAAGCUCAAUGGACACAAAGCAAAUGGCUUGAACUGUUACAGUGGAAGUGAACCUGACCUCAAUCACACUGAGUUGGAGAUAGAUUCGAAACACAAACACGAUACCACUGUCAACAGCACAAAGACAAACUCGCAUAGAAAUGGAGAUGUGGAUGGUGUUCAGCACAGAAUCCCUGCAGAUGUUAAAGAAGUCACAAAUUCUCACUGAAGUGAAAUGGAUUUCUCUCUCAUACCUAAGAAUCUGAAACCACCCUUACAAGCAUGUGAAAGACAAUAUCUACAGUUACAGAGUUCCUGACAUGGAACAAAACCCGGGAAAGAAACGAACAUUUAUAUGCUGCAUCCAUGGAGAAAGACUGCUCGUCUUUUGGCUUCGAGUUAUGAUGUCACCAUUUUAACAUAUGGGUCGAGAGAACCGUCUCAAAAGAGCAGACUUUGCUAUUGCUACAUGUGCACUUACAUUACAGUUAACCUGGACACACUUGAGGACAUAUAAGAUAUUUGCUUUUGCUCUCUCUCUCUCACUGUAAUAUUCUCCCUUUUGGAAAUUCACAAAUCAAAACUAUCUAGUAUGCAAGUUUAUUGCAUCUUUUUUGUUUUUAAUUUGUUUUAAUUGUCGACGUUAAGUUUUAUUGAAUCCAGUUUAAUUUUAGUCUGUGUAAUACUGUGAAUUUAAGUUGAACUGUACUAUCAGUUGUUUGUUUUUCAGUCCUGUAUCAGGAAUUCAUUAGACACUUUCUUAAAAGCCACUCAUAAUGUUAUCUGGGCAUAUGUCAAUGUUUUUGUUUUAUUAGCAAAAAGACGAAACCGUUAUAUUCAUUUUGCUGUAGCAUGUCAAAGUAAAUGUAUACAGUGUACAAUAUUUUGAGUGAGAGGAAACAGCCUUAAUGUCUGAUUUUCUAAUAUUUUCUCUCACCGUGUUUACAGCGUUUUGUUGGAGUGAAUGAAUAUGUAUGUGAUGAUGGGAAGCAUUUGGUUUUGUAAAGGGUGGGUUUUCCUUUUUACACAUAAAGAAUGGAUUUUUGUGAGAUUUAAGUUUUGUAUGAAAAAUGUUUUGUUCUGCCUUUAGUUCAAUUAUAAAAGGCUUGUUAAAACUGAAGCAGCUUAAACACAGCAAUGAUUUGGAAUAAUUGUAUUUAUUUAUUUAUUUUAACCCUUCAUGUCGAAAAUUGUGAUAUUUGAACGGAAUGUAAUUGGAAGCAAACAAAUCUUAUAUCCAAGGUCUUAUAGGCAAGUACACACACACACAAAAAAUGCUGGAUUAUUUCGAACCCAGCAUUGGGUCAAAACGGGACAAGCCCAGCAGUUGGGUUAAAUUAACACACAAAUGUUUAUAUUUGACCCAAAAAUGGGUUCAAACAGCCCAGCAUAGGUUAAAUUAUAACCAAAGGGGGCUGGACUCGUCCCUUUUUGACCCAGCCCUGAGUUGAAAAUAACCCAGCAUUUUUUUUGUUUUAGAGCAUAGUGGUCAGUUUUCUAUCUUUAUGAGAGAAAUGCCAAGGUCCCUGAGAUUAGUUAAAGCGAAAUUAGAUGAAUUGCCCAGAAACCAUCAUUAAUACCAGAGAUUGGCAGUGGACCUCUAUGACACUCCAUAAAUUAGAGGUAAGCAUUCUUGGUCCUGGAGGGCUAUUGUCCUGUACUGCAAAGUUUAGCUCCAAAACUAAUCAAACACACCUGAAUGUCAUUUCCAAGUCAUCCUGCAGUUGUAAUGUGUGUUUGAUUAGGGUUGGAGCUAAACUUUGCAGGACAGCGGCCCUCCAGGACCAGAGAUGCCCACCCCUGCCUUAAAUCAUCCUAAACUUCAGACUGUAUUGCCAAUCCAAAGAUCUGAUUGAAGUGAAGGGUUGUGCUAAAAGGGAUUCUUCUAGCCUAAAUUAUUUUCAUCACAAACCCAACAUUUUACAGGAUUUUGGUCGUAACUGUAUCCCAUUUAGCCAGAACAGUUGUUUCAUCCCAAUCCUAUGAAUGAAGACAAAGAUCACAUGA